GUGCUCACUUCAGCAGCACAUAUACUAAAAUAGAAAGGAUACAGAGAACGUUAGCAUGAGCCCUGUGCAAGGAUGACAUACAAAUUUUUGAAGUGUUCCAUAUUUUA
This is a small nuclear RNA of Gorilla gorilla gorilla (western lowland gorilla), 107 nucleotides long. The record is from Ensembl. NCBI's taxonomy places the organism in Eukaryota, Metazoa, Chordata, Mammalia, Primates, Hominidae.